RNAcentral lists this small RNA (163 nucleotides) under Chrysemys picta bellii (western painted turtle). RNAcentral's name for it is "TUC338 (ENSCPBG00000017206.1)". Lineage: Eukaryota; Metazoa; Chordata; Testudines; Emydidae. The record is from RNAcentral.
UGGAUAGCCCUGGAGACUGAAGUUUCCCAUUUAUCCAGAGAACAGGGUCAGCACAGGCAGUAGUAAUCUUGCCAAAAUGCCACAACCCUGAUCUGGAAGGCCACUUAGAAAUGCGAGGAUGGUAUGGGCUCAUUCACCUAUAGAUCUUUCUGCUGAGGCUGCU